CCACCGACCGUUGAGUGUACC
This 21-nucleotide microRNA is filed under the name Ornithorhynchus anatinus (platypus). Its description in RNAcentral is "oan-miR-181a-3-3p". Its record names the gene oan-miR-181a-3-3p. The record is from miRBase by way of RNAcentral. Lineage: Eukaryota; Metazoa; Chordata; Mammalia; Monotremata; Ornithorhynchidae.